Hirundo rustica (Barn swallow) is the source of this 299-nucleotide long non-coding RNA. RefSeq lists it as uncharacterized. NCBI's taxonomy places the organism in Eukaryota, Metazoa, Chordata, Aves, Passeriformes, Hirundinidae. The transcript is spliced from 3 exons. The record is from RefSeq and is a predicted model, not a curated record.
AGCAAACCUCAGAAUCUCUGGAAUGAACUCAGUGGGAUGACAUUUUUUCACAAAGUGUCUACUCAUUAAUCAGUGGUUAAGAAAUACCUCUCAAGGCUGAUGUCUGAAGACAGCUGUAGUCAAGAAGAAAGAAAAGUACAAUAGAAGGGCUCAAAUCCAAGAGAAGAUUGAAGAGUUAGACAAAAGGAGAUAGAGAAAGAGCCACUAGAGACACUGUCACAUAAAGUUAACCUCUCUUCCCAUUCCUGCUCCAUCUGAUGUUAACACCAAAUAUAGGAUAUUGGAGAGUCAUAAGAGAA